This 89-nucleotide small RNA is filed under the name Flavobacterium sp. A45. RNAcentral's name for it is "Flavo-1 RNA". It matches the Rfam family "Flavo-1 RNA". Lineage: Bacteria; Pseudomonadati; Bacteroidota; Flavobacteriia; Flavobacteriales; Flavobacteriaceae. The record is from Rfam by way of RNAcentral.
AAUUUGCGUGAGGGAUAGCAGUGGAAAUCCUUUUUUUUCCCGCCUUUUUGCGGGAUAAAAAAAGAUUGCAACGAAUAGCCCGGCCCUUG